GUUAUCAAGAAAGGCGGAGGGAAUAGACCCUGUGAAGCCUUAGCAACCCUUUGUCCUGCAAAGAAGGUGCUACGUUCUAUCCAAUUUUGGAAUAGAUAA
Molecule: non-coding RNA, 99 nt
Filed under: marine eukaryotic metagenome
Description: SAM riboswitch (S box leader)
Rfam family: SAM riboswitch aptamer (S box leader)
About the family: The SAM riboswitch is found upstream of a number of genes which code for proteins involved in methionine or cysteine biosynthesis in Gram-positive bacteria. The SAM riboswitch acts at the level of transcription termination control.
Source: RNAcentral